Molecule: unclassified non-coding RNA, 351 nt
Filed under: soil metagenome
Description: partial contains 5.8S ribosomal RNA, internal transcribed spacer 2, and large subunit ribosomal RNA
Rfam family: 5.8S ribosomal RNA (bases 1-120)
Source: RNAcentral
GAUGAAGAACGCAGCGAAAUGCGAUAAGUAAUGUGAAUUGCAGAAUUCAGUGAAUCAUCGAAUCUUUGAACGCACAUUGCGCCCGCCAGUAUUCUGGCGGGCAUGCCUGUUCGAGCGUCAUUACAACCCUCAGGCCCCCGGGCCUGGCGUUGGGGAUCGGCGGAAGCCCCCUGUGGGCACACGCCGUCCCUCAAAUACAGUGGCGGUCCCGCCGCAGCUUCCAUUGCGUAGUAGCUAACACCUCGCAACUGGAGAGCGGCGCGGCCAUGCCGUAAAACACCCAACUUCUGAAUGUUGACCUCGAAUCAGGUAGGACUACCCGCUGAACUUAAGCAUAUCAAUAACGGAGGA